Molecule: ribosomal RNA, 90 nt
Filed under: Propithecus coquereli (Coquerel's sifaka)
Lineage: Eukaryota; Metazoa; Chordata; Mammalia; Primates; Indriidae
Source: RNAcentral
GUCUACAGCCAUACCACAUUGAACACGCCCAAUCUCGUCUGAUCUCGGAAGCCAAGAAAUAGGAAGUUGCAGUAACCAUUGUGGUAGGCU